GGCUACGGGGUUGCUUUCUGCUGGCCACAGCAGGCAGUGCUGCCACGAAUACUCCCGUGCCCACGUGCGCCAGCGUCUUCCUAAGGCAGACUCUGAGCACACCCGCUGUGCUGCACCACUAUUUAAUUUUGCUUUGGACCUUGAUCUUCGACUUUAAAUGUGCCAUCCCUCUAGCAAAACAGAACGUGGGCAGAGCUGGAAGUGCUAGGCCAAGGAAUCGCGUCUUCCAUCGCCACGUGGACGCUGGGAGCCCGUUCCCGGGAGAGGGGCUGCUGGGACCAGCGGGGCUCCUCGCAGCAUCUGCUCAUUUCAUCAGGACUCCGCUGUGUGUCCUUGGAGGCCCCAGAGAAGAGCUUCAGAGUUGACGAACGAGGGCAAACAGCCGUGGCAUCUGCCUGUGACAUGCACAGGGCCAGGCUGGAGGACCUGUGGCCGACCUGUGCGUCAUGUGCGUUUGUUUUUCCCCGUGGGGCAGCUGGUGCGGCUCAGCAAACACCGGGCAGCUUGCAGCUGGGAACUGGCUCCAGACCUCAAAGGAGGGCCAAGUAGGCGAGGGAAGGCGGCGGGAACAAUCCACACCCAUGUGAUUCCGUGGAAGUUUUCAGUACCUCCUUAAAGAGUAGCUCCCUGGGCCACGGGUGGGGUCUUUCAUUCUUCCGGUGUUACUUUUACUUGGCUUGAGGCUGUUAAGUAGGCCGCAGGGCAAGCUACGCUGCCAAGACCUAACUGUGCUGAGUUUCUACAGGAGGGUGGCAGGCACCAGCACAGGGCGAGGUCACCUGGGAGUGGGGGACAGCCUUGACCUUGGACUUAGGAACAGCUAGGAGGCUGUGUGUGUACAUGAGGUGCUCUUUUUCAACCUUGACCAUCAUCGGAGUGCUUCCUCCUCCUCCUUUGUUGAAUUCCCUACUCCCAGACUCUACCCAUCAGGGCCCCAUGCAUAGGCAACGCAGCGGGGGGAGGUCAACAGGAAAUACCAAAUCCAAGAGCGACAAAAGCCUGGUCCUCUUCUGAGAGACUGGCAGGAAGAGUGUAGAUCAGCUUUGUGACUGAGGGGGCGUCACUCGGGUGUAUCUUUCUAUGCUUGACAGAGGAGAGCUUUAACUCUUUAUUUUUAAAAGGAAGCCUUUUGUUUCUUUUUCUCUUGCAUUUUCAGGCUCAUAGGAUGUCAGAGAUUAGCAAAUACCUGACGCUACCUCUGUGACUCCCCUCCCAGCUUCUGGAGUGGGGACACUGCAGCCCGGAAGCUGUGUGCCCACGUGGUGCAGCUUCUGCCUGCUGACCCUGGGUUUCUAGCCCCGGAAGGGUGCCCGCAAAGCUCACUCACCUUCUGGGACCCCGACGUGGAGCUCUUGAGCGAGCCCCGCUUGAAGGAGCUGCUCAUCUUCCUCACGGAGCCCAUGAGCCGGCCUGGGGCGUCGCUGGUGCAGCCGGACCCUGCCGCAAGGGGCCACCCCUGUGCAGAAACAAGCAAACCCAAGCCCAUAGCAACCGAAGAACACAGGCAACCCCUCUAACCUCGCGACAGAUGUCUACCAGCGGCUCCCCAAGAUGACACAGAGAAACACUGGAAACAUUCUUACAGACGCCAAGGACAGAGCAAAAAUGUCUAC
Molecule: non-coding RNA, 1613 nt
Organism: Oryctolagus cuniculus (rabbit)
Lineage: Eukaryota; Metazoa; Chordata; Mammalia; Lagomorpha; Leporidae
Source: RefSeq, a predicted model, not a curated record